This 489-nucleotide ribosomal RNA is filed under the name uncultured soil bacterium. RNAcentral's name for it is "bacterial SSU rRNA". It matches the Rfam family "Bacterial small subunit ribosomal RNA", at positions 35 to 554 of the family's 1533-position model. The record is from RNAcentral.
GCUGGCGGCGUGCCUAACACAUGCAAGUCGAACGGGAAAACGGGGGCAACUCCGUGAGUAUAGUGGCGUACGGGUGAGUAACACGUGACUACCUACCUUUGAGUGGGGGAUAACCCCGGGAAACCGGGGCUAAUACCGCAUAACAUCGCAAGAUCAAAGAAGCAAUUCGCUUAAAGAGGGGGUCGCGGCUGAUUAGCUAGUUGGUAGGGUAAUGGCCUACCAAGGCGAUGAUCGGUAGCCGGCCUGAGAGGGCGCACGGCCACACUGGAACUGAAACACGGUCCAGACUCCUACGGGAGGCAGCAGUGGGGAAUUUUGCGCAAUGGGGGAAACCCUGACGCAGCAACGCCGCGUGGAGGAUGAAGUCCCUUGGGACGUAAACUCCUUUCGACCGGGACGAUUAUGACGGUACCGGUGGAAGAAGCCCCGGCUAACUUCGUGCCAGCAGCCCGCGGUAAUACGACGGGGGCAAGCGUUGUUCGGAAUUAU